This 460-nucleotide ribosomal RNA is filed under the name uncultured bacterium. RNAcentral describes it as "partial 16S ribosomal RNA". It matches the Rfam family "Bacterial small subunit ribosomal RNA", at positions 338 to 795 of the family's 1533-position model. The record is from RNAcentral.
CCUACGGGUGGCAGCAGUGAGGAAUAUUGGUCAAUGGGCGCGAGACUGAACCAGCCAAGUAGCGUGAAGGAUGACUGCCCUACGGGUUGUAAACUUCUUUUAUGAAGGAAUAAAGUGAGGCACGUGUGCCUUUUUGUAGGUACUUUAUGAAUAAGGAUCGGCUAACUCCGUGCCAGCAGCCGCGGUAAUACGGAGGAUCCGAGCGUUAUCCGGAUUUAUUGGGUUUAAAGGGAGCGUAGAUGGGUUGUUAAGUCAGUUGUGAAAGUUUGCGGCUCAACCGUAAAAUUGCAGUUGAUACUGGCAGUCUUGAGUACAGGUGAGGUAGGCGGAAUUCGUGGUGUAGCGGUGAAAUGCUUAGAUAUCACGAAGAACUCCGAUUGCGAAGGCAGCUUACUAAACUGCCACUGACACUGAUGCUCGAAGGUGUGGGUAUCAAACAGGAUUAGAUACCCUAGUAGUC